RNAcentral lists this long non-coding RNA (257 nucleotides) under Elaeis guineensis (African oil palm). RNAcentral describes it as "long non-coding RNA (EGUI_LNC047828)". Lineage: Eukaryota; Viridiplantae; Streptophyta; Magnoliopsida; Arecales; Arecaceae. The record is from RNAcentral.
CAGAAGGCGAAGAGCCCUCCGCAUGAUCAUGAUUCCACCCCCGGAGGCUCCCUACCUUUGUUCCACUAGGAGACCCUCGAGACUCGCAGUCGAGAAGAUCUCCUGGAUCAAAAGCUCCAAGAGACGAACCGACGGAUCGAGGAGCUCAUCAGACGAGGUCGGCUCGAUAGAUUCAUCCAACAUCGACCUGAAGGUAGGUAGGAUAGGCUGAGGGCCCUACCACAGCCAGAGCCGCCAAAGAGGGAGGAAUAGCCUAA